GAUGAACGCUGGCGGCGUGCCUAAUACAUGCAAGUCGAACGAACAGACGAUGCGCUUGCUCCUCUCACGUUAGCGGCGCGCGGGUGUAUCACGCGUGUAUAACCUCCCUAUCAGACUGGUAUCACUUCGGAAAACCGGCGCAUAUACCAUAUAAUAUCUUGAACCGCAUGGGUCGAUAGUGAGAGACGGUUUUUCUGUCACUUCUAGAUGGAUCCGGGCCGCAUUAGCUAGUUGGUAAGGUAACGGCUUUCCACGGCAACGAUGCGUAGCCGAACUGAGAGGGUGGUCGGCCACCCGGGAACGGAGACACGGUCCAGAGGCCUACGGGAGGCAGCAGUAGGGUAUCGGACGCAAUGGGCGGAAGUCUGACGGAGCAACGCCGAGUCAGAGAUGAAGGUCUUCGGAGCGUAAUACUCUGUUAUGAGGGAAGAACAAAUGUGUAAGGAACUAUGCACGUCUUGACGGUACCGAAUCAGAAAGCCACGGCUAACUACGUG
Molecule: ribosomal RNA, 497 nt
Filed under: uncultured bacterium
Lineage: Bacteria
Description: partial 16S ribosomal RNA
Rfam family: Bacterial small subunit ribosomal RNA
Source: RNAcentral